Molecule: small RNA, 604 nt
Filed under: Histoplasma capsulatum
Lineage: Eukaryota; Fungi; Ascomycota; Eurotiomycetes; Onygenales; Ajellomycetaceae
Also listed under: 1 other name
Description: hypothetical RNA
Source: RNAcentral
GGGGAUAAAACUAACUUGAGCAAGAAGUUGUAUGCGUCUCCUGGUGGUGGAGCAAGCAUAACAAUGGCGGAUAUAAGAUAAUGCUCGAACAGCCCUGCGGCCGGCGAAUUGAAAGGCCUAUUGCUUGCCCAGAACCUGGAAAAUGGCAGAACCCCUUCCCGGCCUAAUUCUUGGAUAACUAUUGACACAUUAGCCUUCAAUUUUUUGGUUGCUGGCAUGCAUGUCGUGUACUCACUUCUUCCCUGGGAAAAUAUAACAGACUGAACAUUCCCGAAGGCACACAAAGCUAUAAAAAUGGAUAAAACCCUCUCUGCCUUGGGGCCAAAAACAUUUCGAAAAAAGGAAGCGGCCAGGAUACGUCCAGAACCAAGAUCUCUUGUUUCGGGACAACAACAAAGUAUGCAACAUUGACCAGCAUAUACAAAACGCUGGCAAGCCCCACCCCUAUGGGCGCGGCGAUUUUCAAUGUUCGAGCUGGAUUUCUCGUCUCGCUCAAUGACUGUUGUUGGCAUUUUGCAUUCGAAUAUCCAACGUACGACCAGAUCACGCUAUACAAUGCUGUUACAAUCCCAUAUACACUUGGAAUACUUCCUUCAAACGGUCG